UGCGAGAUGGCUGAGGUGUAGGCGGAGGAUUGUAGCUCCUUUUAGGUAAGAAUUGGUCUUUCUCUCGUAA
This 70-nucleotide transfer RNA is filed under the name Fissurella volcano. Its description in RNAcentral is "tRNA-Tyr". The record is from RNAcentral. Lineage: Eukaryota; Metazoa; Mollusca; Gastropoda; Lepetellida; Fissurellidae.